AUUGAACGCUGGCGGCAUGCUUUACACAUGCAAGUCGAACGGCAGCGCGGGCUUCGGCCUGGCGGCGAGUGGCGAACGGGUGAGUAAUACAUCGGAACGUGCCCAGUAGUGGGGGAUAGCUCGGCGAAAGCCGGAUUAAUACCGCAUACGACCUGAGGGUGAAAGCGGGGGAUCUUCGGACCUCGCGCUAUUGGAGCGGCCGAUGGCAGAUUAGCUAGUUGGUGGGGUAAAGGCCUACCAAGGCGGCGAUCUGUAGCUGGUCUGAGAGGACGACCAGCCACACUGGGACUGAGACACGGCCCAGACUCCUACGGGAGGCAGCAGUGGGGAAUUUUGGACAAUGGGCGAAAGCCUGAUCCAGCAAUGCCGCGUGUGUGAUGAAGGCCUUCGGGUUGUAAAGCACUUUUGGCGGGAACGAAAAGGACUGUGCCAAUACCACGGUUCGAUGACGGUACCCGAAGAAUAAGCACCGGCUAACUACGUG
This 484-nucleotide ribosomal RNA is filed under the name uncultured bacterium. RNAcentral's name for it is "partial 16S ribosomal RNA". It matches the Rfam family "Bacterial small subunit ribosomal RNA", at positions 29 to 507 of the family's 1533-position model. The record is from RNAcentral.